Molecule: non-coding RNA, 2342 nt
Organism: Peromyscus maniculatus bairdii (prairie deer mouse)
Lineage: Eukaryota; Metazoa; Chordata; Mammalia; Rodentia; Cricetidae
Source: RefSeq, a predicted model, not a curated record
UUGCCUUUCUCCUGAAGCCACAAAGAGCCAUGGAAAGCUUAAAAUUAGAAUUUAUUUAAUUGGCUUUUGCUUCUUUCUUCAGCUUUUCUUCCUGCUUGGCCCUGCACUCUUGCAUUUACCAGUGCCUUGCUUCCUCACAAACCACACACACACACUCAUCUCUCUGGAGCAAGUUAGGAUAGUGAAGUCACUAAGGUAUGACACCUAGGGAACCAGAGGUCAGCAUACAUCAUAAUCACCAUCGUCACCAUGGCAAUCACUUUAUUUGUUGAACACUUAGAGAAGAUGUUUGGGGUAUAGCAUAGUGUGUGUGUUUCACCAUCCCUCUGCGUAAAGCUUCAUAUCUAUCUACUGUAUGAAUUAGGAACGAUUCUGUUUCAGGCAAGCAGUGGAGUCCUCAAAGAGUUCUAACAAUUGGUCAAGGUUGCCUACUUGGAUAAUGCCUGUUUCUACUGAAGACGGAAACAUGAUCUGGGGACCUGGGACAGGAACUUGAUGAAGCAGAACUGUAUUGACUCACAGACAGCCUAAGAGUAAGCCUACUGUGAGGUUCUGAAGUGCUAGAUUCCUCCUUCCUGGCUCAAUUCCAAAUAUCCGAGCUGUGAGAAAAGGAAAACAGGAAGGGGUACUGCACGUGGCGAAUCCAUAUUAAAAAAAAAAAAAAAGGCUGAAGUCUGAUGCCAGCUGGACAGAGCAGCAGUGGUAGUAGCUACACUCUCUCAGAAAGAAACAAAUAGUAAGAUACACGCGGGCUGCUUUUUCUCAGACUUCUCUGUUUGGGCUGCUUGUUGGAAAGUGAAAUCCACAUUAAGGGUUUUUUUUUUUUUCUUUUUUUUUUCUUUUUUUUUUUUUUACUCCAGUUAAUCCUCCCUGUCAACACCCUGGCAGAUAUGCACAGUGCGUCUCCUAAGUGAUUCUAAAUAAAGUCAGGCUGAUAAACAACCAUCAUAUCCCCCUUGCCGUGAUCUUUUAAAUACCCAGUCACUAGCUCUCUAAACUCCUCCCUCACCACAGCCACCAUACUUGAAACGAGAAGGCCUAUCAAGCUGCUGUCGCUCUCAAGGAUUUACCAGUAUGUUCAUCCACUGCCUGUUGACAUUCCAUGAGGUAUUCUUGUAUUUCAAAUGGAGUUUCUGACCUAUAAUUGGUAGGUAAUUUGUUUAAUAUAUACAAGUUGAUGGCUUUGUAGACAUCCCAUCACUAUACUAUCAAGGUAACAGAUUGCCGUCACCUCUAAAAAUUACUUUGUGCCUUUUACUUUUUUGUUGAAGUUUUUAAUGAGAGUAUGUAACAUGAACGUUGCUUCAGACCUUUAAGUUCCUAACACCAGGCUGUUGUCUGGAGGUGACAGGCUGCAGGUGGAACUCUAGGCUAGACUGACUUUGUAUAACUGAAAUUUCUUAUAAUUUUUUUCUACUUGACACAGUCAUUCAUUCAUCAGUCUAGAGAGUAAUUCAUCUUUACUAGAAAGGUAAACUUCUACCUUCUCCUUAAAGGAUAACAUGUGUCUUUCAUCUCCUAAUAGUCUGUAUUAUUUCUGCUCUUUAUCUAUCAUGUCAUUAGCCCAUCCCCAGGCUUCUACCCAUUGAGAGCAUGAGUAGAAAUAUGGCCUGAAAUCAUUGUCUAGUUAGAUACCUUAUUCCAGCACUGUGAAUUGAUGGACCUGGGGGCUCUCAUCGUUGUCAGAAGUCUCCAAUAGAUCAUGGUGCUCAUUUCUACCGAGCCAGCUCAUUCUCAGAUCCUUUUGUAAACUGACGCUCCAGGCAACCCUCACCAAUCAAUACAGAAUAGGAUGUGAACUUCUUUUCAUCAAAAGACUCCAUGAGAACAGUGAGAAGGCAAGCCGUAUCCUGGGAGAAGAUUGUUUGUAACGUGUACAACAAAAGAUCAGCACCUAGACUGUACACAGAGAGCCUAGAAAGAAAGAAAAUAAAUGCUAGGAUUUGGACCAUAACAUAGAAGACACCUGGUGAACGCAGCUGUGGCCAUUUAGCUGAUUACUUACUGAAGUGCUGUGCCUUUAAUGGUCAAAAGAAGAGAGAUCUGAGGAGCUCACAAGUUUCCCAGAGUUGUCACAACCAUUAACUGGAAAAGAGAGACAUCAAACUGUAUGAAUUGGCUCCCUGAAUGUCCUAGAAGCACUCUGCUGGCAUGUGAUCAGAACCUAAAUAAGUGUAUGUUUGCUCUGUGGGAAUGAAGUGCAUUCUUCUGCAUAGUAAAUGGAAAUCAUCAAAAGACAGAGUGAUGGGCCACUGGCUUUACAAGUUGAGGAAGAAUACAGAUGAAGCAACAAGAACACAUGCAGGAAUAAUGAAAAGUACCAUGAACCUGAGCUAAUAGGA